GGCCUCGUAACUCAGCUGGUAGAGCGGCGCGUACAAAGCGUAGGCGGCGUCCAUGCGUGGGUUCGAAUCCCAUUGAGGCUA
This 81-nucleotide transfer RNA is filed under the name Echinostoma caproni. It matches the Rfam family "tRNA". Rfam says of the family: Transfer RNA (tRNA) molecules are approximately 80 nucleotides in length. Their secondary structure includes four short double-helical elements and three loops (D, anti-codon, and T loops). The record is from Rfam by way of RNAcentral. Lineage: Eukaryota; Metazoa; Platyhelminthes; Trematoda; Plagiorchiida; Echinostomatidae.